UACAAUGUUUAACUCUUCAUUUUAUUUAAAAAUAUUUUAUGAUUAAUAAUUUUAUUUUUAUUAGAUGAUAAAAUAUGAAUAGUACUCUACAUGUGACUAAUUUUUUUAAAAUUUCUUGAAAAUUUUUUAAAUAAGACGGAUGGUUAAAUGCUCGACACAAAAACCGA
Molecule: microRNA precursor, 167 nt
Filed under: Oryza brachyantha (malo sina)
Lineage: Eukaryota; Viridiplantae; Streptophyta; Magnoliopsida; Poales; Poaceae
Description: MIR812 microRNA precursor family
Rfam family: MIR812 microRNA precursor family
Source: Rfam by way of RNAcentral